CCAUCAUCUUUUGGCGGCGAUGCGGACACAUGCAGUCGUACGAGUGAUAGACGAGCUUGCUUCUUUGAUCAGUGGCGAACGGGUGAGUAACACGUGAGCAAUCUGCCCUUGACUCUGGGAUAAGCGUUGGAAACGACGUCUAAUACCGGAUACGACCUUUGGAGGCAUCUCUGGGGGUGGAAAGAAUUUUGGUCAAGGAUGAGCUCGCGGCCUAUCAGCUAGUUGGUGAGGUAAUGGCUCACCAAGGCGACGACGGGUAGCCGGCCUGAGAGGGUGACCGGCCACACUGGGACUGAGACACGGCCCAGACUCCUACGGGAGGCAGCAGUGGGGAAUAUUGCACAAUGGGCGAAAGCCUGAUGCUGCACCCCCGCGUGAGGGACGACGGCCUUCGGGUUGUAAACCU
RNAcentral lists this ribosomal RNA (406 nucleotides) under Cryobacterium sp. RNAcentral describes it as "bacterial SSU rRNA". It matches the Rfam family "Bacterial small subunit ribosomal RNA", at positions 37 to 432 of the family's 1533-position model. Lineage: Bacteria; Bacillati; Actinomycetota; Actinomycetes; Micrococcales; Microbacteriaceae. The record is from RNAcentral.